Molecule: non-coding RNA, 54 nt
Organism: Salmo salar (Atlantic salmon)
Lineage: Eukaryota; Metazoa; Chordata; Actinopteri; Salmoniformes; Salmonidae
Source: Rfam
UAUACUCACUACUGUAAAUCGCUCUGGAUAAGAGCGUCUGCUAAAUGACUAAAA